UAGGGAAUAUUGGUAAUGUGCGAAAGCGCGAACCAGCAACGCCGCGUGCACGAUGAAGGCCUUCGGGUCGUAAAGUGCUUUUAGAGAGGAUGAGGAAGGACAGUACUUUCUGAAUAAGCCUCGGCUAACUACGUGCCAGCAGCCGCGGUAAAACGUAGGAGGCAAGCGUUAUCCGGAUUUACUGGGCGUAAAGCGCAUGCAGGUGGUUUUGUAAGUUGGAUGUGAAAGCUCCUGGCUUAACUGGGAGAGGUCGUUCAAAACUACAAGACUUGAGAGUGGUAGAGGAAAAUGGAAUUCCGGGUGUAGUGGUGAAAUGCGUAGAUAUCCGGAGGAACACCAGUGGCGAAAGCGGUUUUCUGGACCAAUUCUGACACUCAGAUGCGAAAGCUAAGGUAGCAAACG
This 402-nucleotide ribosomal RNA is filed under the name uncultured bacterium. RNAcentral describes it as "bacterial SSU rRNA". It matches the Rfam family "Bacterial small subunit ribosomal RNA", at positions 355 to 774 of the family's 1533-position model. The record is from RNAcentral.